GUCCACGAUAGCUCAAGUGGUUAGAGCAGCGGCGUACUGAGCCGAAGGUCGUGGGUUCGAAUCCCGCUCGUGACA
Molecule: transfer RNA, 75 nt
Filed under: Cimex lectularius (bed bug)
Lineage: Eukaryota; Metazoa; Arthropoda; Insecta; Hemiptera; Cimicidae
Description: tRNA-Ser
Rfam family: tRNA
About the family: Transfer RNA (tRNA) molecules are approximately 80 nucleotides in length.
Source: RNAcentral